Molecule: ribosomal RNA, 114 nt
Filed under: Enterobacter cloacae
Lineage: Bacteria; Pseudomonadati; Pseudomonadota; Gammaproteobacteria; Enterobacterales; Enterobacteriaceae
Description: partial 16S ribosomal RNA
Rfam family: Bacterial small subunit ribosomal RNA
Source: RNAcentral
UUAAAUUGAAGAGUUUGAUCAUGGCUCAGAUUGAACGCUGGCGGCAGGCCUAACACAUGCAAGUCGAACGGUAACAGGAAGCAGCUUGCUGCUUUGCUGACGAGUGGCGGAGGG